Molecule: ribosomal RNA, 717 nt
Filed under: Hypogymnia minilobata
Lineage: Eukaryota; Fungi; Ascomycota; Lecanoromycetes; Lecanorales; Parmeliaceae
Description: partial large subunit ribosomal RNA
Rfam family: Eukaryotic large subunit ribosomal RNA
Source: RNAcentral
GAAGCGGCAACAGCUCAAAUUUGAAAUCUGGCUCUCCGGGGUCCGAGUUGUAAUUUGUAGAGAGUGUUUCGGGUGAGAUCGCGGUCUAAGUCCAUUGGAACAUGGCGUCAUAGAGGGUGAGAAUCCCGUAUGCGACUGUGGAUCGAGCCCAUGUGAAGCCUCUUCGACGAGUCGAGUUGUUUGGGAAUGCAGCUCAAAAUGGGUGGUAAAUUUCAUCUAAAGCUAAAUACUGGCUGGAGACCGAUAGCGCACAAGUAGAGUGAUCGAAAGAUGAAAAGCACUUUGGAAAGAGAGUCAAACAGUACGUGAAAUUGUUGAAAGGGAAGCGCUUGCAACCAGACCUGUCCGUAGGUGAUCAGCCGCUGUUCUCAGUGGUGCACUCGCUCUGCGAUCAGGCCAGCAUCGGUUCGGGCGGUCGGAUAAAGGCCUUGGGAAUGUAGCUUCUUUCGGGGAGCCUUAUAGCCCUCGGUGCAAUGCGGCCAGCCGGGACCGAGGACCGCGCUUCGGCUAGGAUGCUGGCGUAAUGGUUGUAAGCGACCCGUCUUGAAACACGGACCAAGGAGUCUAACAUCUAUGCGAGUGUUUGGGUGUUAAACCCAUGCGCGGAAUGAAAGUGAACGGAGGUGAGAACCCUUAAGGGCGCAUCAUCGACCGAUCCAGAUGUCUUCGGAUGGAUUUGAGUAUGAGCAUAGCUUACGGGACCCGAAAGAUCGUGAA